RNAcentral lists this ribosomal RNA (119 nucleotides) under Aotus nancymaae (Ma's night monkey). The record is from RNAcentral. Lineage: Eukaryota; Metazoa; Chordata; Mammalia; Primates; Aotidae.
GUCUACGGCCAUACCACCCUGAACAUGCCCGAUCUUGUGUGAUCUUGGAAGCUAAGCAGGGUCGGGCCUGGUUAGUACUUGGAUGGGAGACCACCUUGGAAUACCGGGUGCUGUAGGCU